AAAUUUAUUUGAUCAGCU
This 18-nucleotide microRNA is filed under the name Corchorus capsularis. RNAcentral's name for it is "sRNA CCACVL1_08612". Lineage: Eukaryota; Viridiplantae; Streptophyta; Magnoliopsida; Malvales; Malvaceae. The record is from RNAcentral.